UCAAGUUCAAAUAUCACUAAAGUCACAAUCUCGAAUAAUGAUAAUCUUAAGCUCAAAUACCACUUAAGUCAUAUUCUCUAGUGAUCAUAACCUAAACUUUAUAUCAUUCUAUCAGGUCCUUAAUGAUCAUAAUCUUAAGCUCUGAUGUUAUCCAUUAUACUCCACUCGGUCACAUCCUAUUGAUCAUACAUAAAAUUUUGAUAUCACUUUAUAAUCUCAAUGAUCUUAAACCUAAGCUCUGAUAUUAUUCUAUCAUAUCAUAAUCAUUUAUAUUAUUUAUAUCAUAAUCUCCAAAGAUUAUAACCUAAGCUCUGAUACCAUAAAAUGUCACGCCCCAAAUCCAAAAGCAAGUACUAACCCGAAUCUCAACAUUCAUAAAUAACUACAAAUUCAUGAUUAUAAAAUAAAUUAAACUUCUGUUGUCAAAUUUUUCAGCUUGCUAUGUCGAUCUUCAAGCUUGGAUUUCUUUUGCCGAUCAUAACCUUAUUUCUUUGUUCAAACAAAAAGAAAACAAAAAGAAUAUGAGCUACACUAGUCCAGUAAGUAGAACUUGUGCUUCCUUAUCGGAUCAAGCAUAAGUUUUUCAUGAUAAUACAAUAUUUAGAAAAUAACAGAUAAUACAAAAUAAAGUAUUUCAUAGAGCAUAUA
Molecule: long non-coding RNA, 648 nt
Filed under: Elaeis guineensis (African oil palm)
Lineage: Eukaryota; Viridiplantae; Streptophyta; Magnoliopsida; Arecales; Arecaceae
Description: long non-coding RNA (EGUI_LNC025136)
Source: RNAcentral